GGUUAUAGCUCAGUGGUAGAGUGCUUGCCUAGCAUGUGAGGCACUGGGUUCAAUUCUCAGCACCA
RNAcentral lists this transfer RNA (65 nucleotides) under Marmota monax (woodchuck). RNAcentral describes it as "tRNA.Ala". Lineage: Eukaryota; Metazoa; Chordata; Mammalia; Rodentia; Sciuridae. The record is from RNAcentral.